Molecule: ribosomal RNA, 253 nt
Filed under: uncultured prokaryote
Description: partial 16S ribosomal RNA
Rfam family: Bacterial small subunit ribosomal RNA
Source: RNAcentral
ACGGAGGGGGCUAGCGUUGUUCGGAAUUACUGGGCGUAAAGCGCACGUAGGCGGCUUUGUAAGUUAGAGGUGAAAGCCCAGGGCUCAACCCUGGAAUUGCCUUUGAAACUAGAUGGCUAGAAUCCUGGAGAGGCGAGUGGAAUUCCGAGUGUAGAGGUGAAAUUCGUAGAUAUUCGGAAGAACACCAGUGGCGAAGGCGACUCGCUGGACAGGUAUUGACGCUGAGGGACGAAAGCUAGGGGAGCGAAUGGGA